CAGUCGAGCGAGCGGAACUAACAGAUUUACUUCGGUAAUGACGUUAGGAAAGCGAGCGGCGGAUGGGUGAGUAACACGUGGGGAACCUGCCCCAUAGUCUGGGAUACCACUUGGAAACAGGUGCUAAUACCGGAUAAGAAAGCAGAUCGCAUGAUCAGCUUUUAAAAGGCGGCGUAAGCUGUCGCUAUGGGAUGGCCCCGCGGUGCAUUAGCUAGUUGGUAAGGUAAAGGCUUACCAAGGCGAUGAUGCAUAGCCGAGUUGAGAGACUGAUCGGCCACAUUGGGACUGAGACACGGCCCAAACUCCUACGGGAGGCAGCAGUAGGGAAUCUUCCACAAUGGACGCAAGUCUGAUGGAGCAACGCCGCGUGAGUGAAGAAGGUUUUCGGAUCGUAAAGCUCUGUUGUUGGUGAAGAAGGAUAGAGGUAGUAACUGGCCUUUAUUUGACGGUAAUCAACCAGAAAGUCACGGCUAACUACGUGCCAGCAGCCGCGGUAAUACGUAGGUGGCAAGCGUUGUCCGGAUUUAUUGGGCGUAAAGCGAGCGCAGGCGGAAGAAUAAGUCUGAUGUGAAAGCCCUCGGCUUAACCGAGGAACUGCAUCGGAAACUGUUUUUCUUGAGUGCAGAAGAGGAGAGUGGAACUCCAUGUGUAGCGGUGGAAUGCGUAGAUAUAUGGAAGAACACCAGUGGCGAAGGCGGCUCUCUGGUCUGCAACUGACGC
Molecule: ribosomal RNA, 720 nt
Filed under: Lactobacillus crispatus
Lineage: Bacteria; Bacillati; Bacillota; Bacilli; Lactobacillales; Lactobacillaceae
Description: bacterial SSU rRNA
Rfam family: Bacterial small subunit ribosomal RNA
Source: RNAcentral